This is a long non-coding RNA of Oncorhynchus tshawytscha (Chinook salmon), 2066 nucleotides long. NCBI's taxonomy places the organism in Eukaryota, Metazoa, Chordata, Actinopteri, Salmoniformes, Salmonidae. The record is from Ensembl.
CAGAUCAUGUGACACUUAGAUUGCACACAGGUGGACUUUAUUUAACUAAUUAUGUGACUGAAGGUAAUUGGUUGCACCAGAUCUUAUUUAGGGGCUUCAUAGUAAAGAAUACAUAUGCACACACACCACUUUUCCGUUAUUUAGAUAUUUUUGAAACAAGUUUUUUAUUUUAUUUCACUUUACCAAUUUGGACUAUUUUCUUUGUUUGUCCAUUACAUGAAAUCCAAAUAAAAAUCCAUUUAAAUUACAGGUUGUAAAGCAACAAAAUAGGAAAAACGCCAAGGGGGAUGAAAUACUAUUGUCAGGCACUGUAUUUUCUCACACGUUUGCUGUGCCCCAAAUGGCGUGCAAUCCCCUACAUAGUGCAUUCUCUUUGGCAAGGGCCCACAGAAGUAGUGCACUACAUAGGGAAUGGGAUGCCUAGUCUCUCCACACAGCCUCUGUAUGUCCGGCAAGCCGGACUAUAGCUCACAGGAUGAAAUCACAAACAAUUUACCCAAACCUAUUUUAGUUAUAGCAUUAUUUCAUUUCAUGUUAGAAACUACGUGUCCUUUUUCAUAACUCCCUGUUGAUGCAUUCAUUAACCAAACCAUACAAUAUUAAUAACCAUAACGAGAGAGAGAGACUCGAUAACAACCUGGAUGUAUGUAAUAGUUUUACUAUUACAGAGGUUUCUAUACACUGAGCAGGGCCAUAGACAUGGGUUACAGUCCAGAUCACAUCCUGAUAUAUUCCCUAGGGACUGAGCAGGGCCAUAGACAUGGGUUACAGUCCAGAUCACAUCCUGAUAUAUUCCCUAGGGACUGAGCAGGGCCAUAGACAUGGGUUACAGUCCAAAUGGCAUCCUGAUAUAUUCCCUAGGGACUGAGCAGGGCCAUAGACAUGGGUUACAGUCCAGAUCACAUCCUGAUAUAUUCCCUGUAUAGUCAGAAGGAGUGGACUGUGUAGGGAAUAGGGACUGUGUAGGGAAUAGGGACUGUGUAGGGAAUAGGGACUGUGUAGGGAAUAGGGACUGUAUAGGGAAUAGGGACUGUGUAGGGAAUAGGGACUGUGUAGGGAAUAGGGACUGUGUAGGGAAUAGGGACUGUAUAGGGAAUAGGGACUGUGUAGGGAAUAUAUAACAUAAAACACUGGCUAACCACUGGUGUGGGGUUAAGACUCAGUGGAAAUGCAUCACCAUAGUACUAGACUAGUACUCAUAUUUAGUCAGUACUGCUGUAGUACUCUUAUACAGUACAGUUUAAGUCAGUACUGCUAUAGUACUCUUAUACAGUACAGUUUAAGUCAGUACUGCUAUAGUACUCUUAUACAGUACAGUUUAAGUCAGUACUGCUAUAGUACUCUUAUACAGUACAGUUUAAGUCAGUACUGCUAUAGUACUCUUAUACAGUACAGUUUAAGUCAGUACUGCUGUAGUACUCUUGUACAGUGCAGUUUAAGUCAGUACUGCUAUAGUACUCUUAUACAGUACAGUUUAAGUCAGUUCUGCUAUAGUACUCUCAUACAGUACAGUUAAAGUCAGUACUGCUAUAGUACUCUUAUACAGUACAGUUUUAAUGUGCAAUUAGCUGUAGCCCCUAACAUGGCGAUCAAUAAUCAAUAAUAUUACGAAGUUGGAUAAAAUAUUGAUCAUAUUUAUAAUUCGCAUUGACAUUGAUAAAUGGUGCUGGACUGUAAUUAAGGUUAUGAGGUACACUAGUGACUUUACAUUGAGCCCUGGUGAUGGGAGUCUGGUGGCAGAGUUAUGAGGUACACUAGUGACUUUACAUUGAGCCCUGGUGAUGGGAGUCUGGUGGCAGAGUUAUCAGGUACGCUAGUGACUUUACAUUGAGCCCUGGUGAUGGGAGUGACUUUACAUUGAGCCCUGGUGAUGGGAGUCUGGUGGCAGAGUUAUCAGGUACGCUAGUGACUUUACAUUGAGCCCUGGUGAUGGGAGUGACUUUACAUUGAGCCCUGGUGAUGGGAGUCUGGUGGCAGAGUUAUCAGGUACACUAGUGACUUUACAUUGAGCCCUGGUGAUGGGAGUGACUUUACAUUGAGCCCUGGUGAUGGGAGUCUGGUGGCAG